This 1199-nucleotide long non-coding RNA is filed under the name Homo sapiens (human). RNAcentral describes it as "HSALNT0146173". Lineage: Eukaryota; Metazoa; Chordata; Mammalia; Primates; Hominidae. The record is from RNAcentral.
GUUAUCUGAUUGGCACACCGUAACUGCUCUAUUUCGUGCAUUUACACUUAAGCCUCUAAUAAUAGUUCUUUGAAAAGCACUGUCUUGUAUUUAACUGAUGAUUGGCUCCAGCAAUUAAAUCCUACCACACUUUAGAAUGCUGGACUAUUCUGCUGCUUCCCAGAGUUGGAAAGAAAGGAGUUGACUCACAUCUUACCCAUCUCACUCCAGGUCAGCAAUGGCACUGGAGGCAGUGCUGGGGAUACUGAGGAUAUUGCUGUUUUGAGUGGCAUGUGUUUGCUCUGGAGAAAACAAUACAGAGCCUCCCUCGAAUGCAGAGUUAACAGUGGGGUUGUGUUUCUGAUCAACAGAAGCUGCUGGAUUACACCUUGUCCACAGAUAUAAAAAGCGGGGAGGAGCAGACCGACAGCAGAAUGGGUCAACGUAAGGAACGGCAGAUAACGGCUUCCCAGGAGCAGUCAUUUCUAACCUCUACUACGCAUCAGAGUCAUCCAGAGAGCUUGUUAAAACACAGAUUUCUGCGUCCCACCCUCAGAGUUUGCUGACUGAGAAGGUCUGGGUUGGACCAAAGAAUCUGCAUUUUUUAAAAGUUCCAUGGUCUAGGACCACACUUUGAGAACUGCUGUUCCAAAGAACCACCUGCUUUAUACUCUGGUUUCUCUUCGGAUCAUAUAAAUCUGCCUUUUAAAAAAGCACCUGUUGGAUCUAUGAAACUGAUGCAGCCGGUAGUUUCUCAUUAUGGUCUCAUUACCCUUUACAUUGAAAAAUACAAAGCCACUUCAAUUGCCAUUUCACAGUACAGCCCAUGGCCUGGAACGGGCACAGCUGCCCUCUUUAGGUUGAAAAUAUUUGGCAAAUAAGGAAUGCUGGCAAGAGAGGCUGCAGUUUUGACACCUACACCUUGAUUUGGGAUUCAUUUUUCUCACUCAGGAUUUGGCAAGCGUAUGUCUUCUUUAAAGUGAGACUGAAAAUAAGCUCUGACUCACAAACCUAGCUUAAAACACCACAAAGAGUAAACAACUAUUUCCAUAACUAAUAAUUAUUAAAAUAUGUUUUUGAGUUUUUGCAUAACUUGCCUGUAUAAUGAGAUCUAAGUAUUUACAUGGAAUUUCUACAUUACUGUGUGAAUAAAUUAACAGAACUAAAACCUGCCUCCUGACCUCUAGCCUCUCCCUGAUGUCAGCCUGUGCUCAACCCUG